RNAcentral lists this ribosomal RNA (670 nucleotides) under uncultured Actinomycetes bacterium. Its description in RNAcentral is "bacterial SSU rRNA". It matches the Rfam family "Bacterial small subunit ribosomal RNA", at positions 50 to 733 of the family's 1533-position model. The record is from RNAcentral. Lineage: Bacteria; Bacillati; Actinomycetota; Actinomycetes.
AACACAUGCAAGUCGAACGGAAAGGCCAGCGCUUGCACUGGUACUCGAGUGGCGAACGGGUGAGUAACACGUGGGUGAUCUGCCCUGCACUUCGGGAUAAGCCUGGGAAACUGGGUCUAAUACCGGAUAGGACCACAUUUUGGAUGGUGUGGUGGAAAGUUUUUCGGUGUGGGAUGAGCUCGCGGCCUAUCAGCUUGUUGGUGGGGUAAUGGCCUACCAAGGCGUCGACGGGUAGCCGGCCUGAGAGGGUGUACGGCCACAUUGGGACUGAGAUACGGCCCAGACUCCUACGGGAGGCAGCAGUGGGGAAUAUUGCACAAUGGGCGCAAGCCUGAUGCAGCGACGCCGCGUGGGGGAUGACGGCCUUCGGGUUGUAAACUCCUCUCGCUAGGGACGAAGCGCAAGUGACGGUACCUGGAGAAGAAGCACCGGCUAACUACGUGCCAGCAGCCGCGGUAAUACGUAGGGUGCGAGCGUUGUCCGGAAUUACUGGGUGUAAAGAGCUCGUAGGUGGUUUGUCGCGUCGUUUGUGUAAGCCCGCAGCUUAACUGCGGGACUGCAGGCGAUACGGGCAUAACUUGAGUGCUGUAGGGGAGACUGGAAUUCCUGGUGUAGCGGUGGAAUGCGCAGAUAUCAGGAGGAACACCGAUGGCGAAGGCAGGUCUCUGGG